Molecule: long non-coding RNA, 402 nt
Filed under: Cairina moschata (Muscovy duck)
Lineage: Eukaryota; Metazoa; Chordata; Aves; Anseriformes; Anatidae
Description: domestica (muscovy Duck (domestic type)) lncRNA (ENSCMMG00000001992.1)
Source: RNAcentral
GAAGCCAAAGCAGGUCGAGCUGCCUGCACCCCUGGGAAUGACACAGCCCAAAACAAUGGAUGUAACUCCUACUUGUCUGCAUGCUCAAGAGGAGAUGCUCAGGGCACUUUAUAUGAAAAUUAUAGAUUGUACACAGAUCUGCAUUCAAUAGAGGAGAAAACAUUUUCCUAGAGCGAGCUGCUUCCUGACAUUGAAGCUAACACUUGCAAAGCCAGCUUGAUGUUUCCACUCUGUGCUGUGACGUAUCUGCAGGAAAAAAGCGUGCCUUUUACACCUUUUUGAAGUAUUCCCCUUCAUCAAUGAGAAGAACAUGGCUCCUGUGAAAGAAUGAGUAGGGCAAGAGCAAAAGGUAAAGUGGGGUGGAGUUAUUUACCACAGACUGCCACAUUAGUAAGGGCACGA